This 1618-nucleotide unclassified non-coding RNA is filed under the name Daphnia magna. RNAcentral describes it as "uncharacterized LOC116921426, transcript variant X2". Lineage: Eukaryota; Metazoa; Arthropoda; Branchiopoda; Diplostraca; Daphniidae. The record is from RNAcentral.
AAUGCUUCCGUUUUGGCUAACCCUCAUCCUCCUUCAUGUACUUCCAUUUUGUAAUCGGGGUCUCUGCUAGUGAACCUGUCUAGCCCGCUGGCUUCACUUUCAUAAGAAAUGACACUAAUGAUUGCCGUAGAUUUCUUUUCCAGAAGAAAUAAAGUCAAACGCUGGUUGGAAGUAAAUUGGUCACUUGAAUACAGACAUAAUUCUGACAUUGUGUUUUCUGUAAAAGUUGUUAUUGGAUAUUGGCCCAGCAGUGUACAUGAAAAGAUUUGUUAGUAGGUCAAUUUCUCUCCCUGGUAUGACCACCAAGGCCUUAAGGUGGUCUUAUUCCAACCAGGUGCUUACAAUCCCACCAAAACUAAGGUCAUGAAUCACUACAGCCAUGCUGAUUUCCAUGAUUGUCAUCCAAGACAAGAUCAUGAUUGCAUUGAUCAUUUAAAAGCAAGGUUUAAAGUUUGGAAGGUGGAACAACAGCAUUUUCCAAAAGCUAUUUUUAUUACUUCUUUGUGUGAUUGCACAACACAUACAGGUUUUGUGUAUUUGAAAUUUGUUGCACCACUUGCUCUAAUCAGCAAAACCAAUCAUUUUGAGCUGCCAGCUACUUCAGUUUUGGUUUGCUCUCAUUACAGAAAAGUACAUUAAAAUGUGAUUAAGAAUGUCAGCCCUUACAUAUUCAUACAUGUGGAUAAUUUGCUUUAGAGAUUGGGCAGAAUAGUAACUUGUGUAGUUUAUUAACAAUAUUGCAAGCUAUGAGCAUCUUGGAUUCCAUAUUAGACUUGUUUUAAUAUUUUUUCAAUAUUCCAUUUGGAUGGUUAAUGAUGCCAACACUAAAAAAUCCAAAAAGACACAUUGAAAAUGUAAGUCUUCUUUACCUGUGAAUGAUAAAAUAACCAGUAACACAUUCAGCAACUGUUGGCAGCAGUAAACAAAAAAACAAUGAAAAUCGAUCACAAACUACGGUGAACAAUCAACUAAAUAGUUGUAGACAUUCAUACAUUUGUAUGUUAAUGUAAUGUAGUUGUAGUUAAUGUUUUUAAUCAUACUUUUGGCUUGUCAUUGCCAAUCUACAGUGAUUACAUUUUAGGUACGACGUUGCCGAAACCUAUUUCAUCAUCAAGAUGGCUCAAGAAAGAGAAUUUCUGAAAGAAUCUGUAAGCGACCUUCAGAACGUGAUACAUAGCUUAGAGAGUGACAAUUCGCCUCUGAACAGCACCCUACAACUAGUAUCCACCGCAAACCAAUAAUUUCGUCAGGCUUGUAUUGUUGGUGUACUUACAGGCAAUCGGGAACAUCACGGACACCGGGAGCCGUUGAGUUUUUUAUUUAGGUUUUGGAUGUAGUAGCAGUAGCAAGCGCCAGAUUUCGCAGUUGUACCCACUUUUUUGCUCUGAUUGGCUCUCGCAGCCAUUGAAGAUACGAGUCCAACGCAUCAUGCAACGCAACCGGCAUCUAGUGUUUCGUGAAGAAAUCAUAAUUGAUCCGUGCAAGCAAUUAAUUAUGUCAUCAAUAUCUUCCUGUUGGCAAGUUUUUUAUUGUUUAUUAGUGUAAAUAUUGCAAUUUGUUUCUCUUAAUAUUGCAACCAACUAAUUUCCUUUAUUGCACAUGGAUUAACUUUUUUAAA